This 1633-nucleotide unclassified non-coding RNA is filed under the name Hevea brasiliensis (rubber tree). Lineage: Eukaryota; Viridiplantae; Streptophyta; Magnoliopsida; Malpighiales; Euphorbiaceae. The record is from RNAcentral.
UAUACGAAUAUGCAAAUUGGGCAAAAUACAUAAAGUAAUCACCUACUAAUCCAUGGAAACAAAAGCUGCCUUAGGUGGUUUACUAUUAUUUUAUAAAUAAUCUUGGCAUUACAAGUAUUACAUAAUUAUCAAUGAGUUGCUUGGCAUGUAUCUGAUGUCAGAAAAAUUGCAGUCAUCCUCUUUGCCUUCUCAAGAUGUUUGAGCACUAGCAAGUGAUUGUAUCUAACAAAGAUGCAACAAAAGAACUCAUGAACUUCAAUCAAUGUGAGAAGGCAGCUAAUUCAUUGAUGGCUAGACAACAUAUUUGUCUUCUGAACUUCCCUUCCCUUAAACAUUAAAAUAUGUGCUUCUCACACAUGAGCUAGAAUAUCAUCCAGAAUGUAAAUUGGCCCGAGAUGACCUAAGCUGUGAAACAAGCCCCGGACCAACACAUUCCAAAUUGCCACACUGGGACAGAUACCCUUACUUAACAUCUUACCAAGAUACAUGAAGGCUUCUUCUACCCCAAUUUGAUUACAGAUCCCCCAUAAAAGAUUGGUGUAUGCAAUUAUGUCUGGUUUCCGUUCUCCUCCUGCACUUACUCUAUCUACAAGCUGUAUAGUAGCCUUAACCUUACCUUGCUUACAGUAGGCAUAAAUUACUGUGUUGUAUGUAAUGGCAUUAGGCUUCACUCCUUCAACCAGCAUUUUUCCCUAGAAGCUUCGAAGUCUCUUCAAACAAUCCAGCAAGGCAAAAUCCACACAAGAUGGUAUUAUAAGUCACUGAAUUCAGUUUGACACUGUUGUCUUCCAUCUCCCUAACAAGUUCAAGAGCUUCUUUUAUUCUGUUUGCUUUCAGAAGACCAUCCAAGAUUUCAUUAUAUGUCAUGACAUUAGGUGAACAUCCAUAUUGGCCCAUCUUAUUGAACAUUUUUAAAGCCCAUUCUACUCUUCCACUACGACAUAAACCUUUGAUAAAUGCAUUGAAUGUAACCGUAUUUGGAGGACAGUCAUCAGUUGUCAUUUUCUCUAAAAGACGUUGAGCUUGGUUGAACAUAGAAUUCCUGCAAAGGGCGUCCACCAUGCAAGUAUACAAUACAACAUUAGGAAUGCAACCAUUCAACAUCAUCUUGUUCCAUGUCUCAGAUGCACCAACCAAAUCACCAGAUUUUGCAAAACCAUCAAUAAGAGUACUAUACGUGAUUGUAUUUGGGGAGUAGCCAUUUCCCUCCAUUUUACUGGAAACAGAUAAAGCUUCUUCCAUUUUCCCAUGGGAGCAGAGACCACGUAUUAGAGUGUUAUAUGAAACACUAUUGGGCUCAAAUCCUUCUCGAAUCAUCAAGUUCCAUAUAUUGAGUGCUUCAUAUACUCUUCUUCCCAAUGUUCACACCUUUACUUCCUUGAUGAAGGGCUAUUUCAUGGGAGGGAGAGUAUACGAGGCACUCAAUAUAUGGAACCAGAUGAUUCAAGAAGAAAUUGAGGCCAAUAUUGUUGGGUAUAACGCUCUAAUACAUGGUCUCAGCCUGCUCCCAUGGGAAAAUGGGAGAAGCUUUAUCUGUUUCCUGUAAAAUGGAGGGAAACGGUUGUUCUCCAAAUGUGAUCACAUAUAGCGCUCUCAUUGAUGGUUUUGCAAAAGCUGGUGACUUGGUUGGUGC